CCUACGGGUGGCUGCAGUGAGGAAUAUUGGUCAAUGGACGAGAGUCUGAACCAGCCAAGUAGCGUGAAGGAUGACUGCCCUAUGGGUUGUAAACUUCUUUUAUAUGGGAAUAAAAUGUUCCACGUGUGGGAUUUUGUAUGUACCAUAUGAAUAAGGAUCGGCCAACUCCGUGCCAGCAGCCGCGGUAAUACGGAGGAUCCGAGCGUUAUCCGGAUUGAUUGGGGUUAAAGGGAGCGUAGGUGGAUUGUUAAGUCAGUUGUGAAAGUUUGCGGCUCAACCGUAAAAGUGCAGUUGAAACUGGCAGUCUUGAGUACAGUAGAGGUGAGCGGAAUUCGUGGUGUAGCGGUGAAAUGCGUAGAUAUCACGAAGAACUCCGAUUGCGAAGGCAGCUCACUGGACUGCAACUGACACUGAGGCGCGAAAGUGUGGGUAGCAAACAGGAUUAGAUACCCGAGUAGUC
RNAcentral lists this ribosomal RNA (460 nucleotides) under uncultured bacterium. RNAcentral's name for it is "partial 16S ribosomal RNA". It matches the Rfam family "Bacterial small subunit ribosomal RNA", at positions 338 to 795 of the family's 1533-position model. The record is from RNAcentral.